AACGAACGCUGGCGGCGUGGAUUAGGCAUGCAAGUCGAACGCGAAAGAGGGGGCAACUCCUCGAGUAGAGUGGCGAACGGGUGAGUAACGCGUGAAGAACCUGCCUUCAACAGGGGGAUAACACUCCCAACGGGGUGCUAAUACCGCAUGAGACCACGGAUCUGCAUGGAUCCGAGGUCAAAGGUGGCCUCUGCUUGCAAGCUACCGGUUGAAGAUGGCUUCGCGUCCCAUUAGCUAGUUGGCGGUGUAAAAGACCACCAAGGCGACGAU
RNAcentral lists this ribosomal RNA (270 nucleotides) under uncultured bacterium. Its description in RNAcentral is "partial 16S ribosomal RNA". It matches the Rfam family "Bacterial small subunit ribosomal RNA", at positions 29 to 280 of the family's 1533-position model. The record is from RNAcentral.